AGUGAACGCUGGCGGUAGGCCUAACACAUGCAAGUCGAACGGCAGCACAGUAAGAGCUUGCUCUUACGGGUGGCGAGUGGCGGACGGGUGAGGAAUACAUCGGAAUCUACUUUUUCGUGGGGGAUAACGUAGGGAAACUUACGCUAAUACCGCAUACGACCUACGGGUGAAAGCAGGGGAUCUUCGGACCUUGCGCGAUUGAAUGAGCCGAUGUCGGAUUAGCUAGUUGGCGGGGUAAAGGCCCACCAAGGCGACGAUCCGUAGCUGGUCUGAGAGGAUGAUCAGCCACACUGGAACUGAGACACGGUCCAGACUCCUACGGGAGGCAGCAGUGGGGAAUAUUGGACAAUGGGCGCAAGCCUGAACCAGCCAUACCGCGUGGGUGAAGAAGGCCUUCGGGUUGUAAAGCCCUUUUGUUGGGAAAGAAAAGCAGCAGGUUAAUACCCCGCUGUUCUGGCGGUACCCAAAGAAUAAGCACCGGCUAACUUCGUG
RNAcentral lists this ribosomal RNA (492 nucleotides) under uncultured bacterium. RNAcentral's name for it is "partial 16S ribosomal RNA". It matches the Rfam family "Bacterial small subunit ribosomal RNA", at positions 29 to 507 of the family's 1533-position model. The record is from RNAcentral.